This 344-nucleotide long non-coding RNA is filed under the name Carica papaya (papaya). RNAcentral describes it as "long non-coding RNA (CPAP_LNC002814)". Lineage: Eukaryota; Viridiplantae; Streptophyta; Magnoliopsida; Brassicales; Caricaceae. The record is from RNAcentral.
AGCUUAUAACACAUAAUUUUGCUAAGUCUAUAAGGUCGUAGUAGAAGAGCUAAUGAAAAUCCACCCGGAAUCGGAUAAAGGAAAGUAGGAAGCAAACUCUACAAAGAAAGGGAAUAAUUGUAGUAGUUAGUCCAUGAACUAAAAUUAGUACAAUUUCUGCUACUUUACAUUAGAUGCAAUCUUAUCAAUCCACAGUCAAAAAGUUUUUAAGGGUGAAAAAUUUUGAAGGUAAAAUGACCUGAAGAAUAUUUUAAGUUGUCCUAUUAGUUUGGCUAAUCCCCUUUAUCCAGCUUUGUCGAUCAUCUUAAAGGAGACCAAAAGAUCUGUAGAAGAGAAAAAAUAUC